UACGAAGGGGGCUAGCGUUGCUCGGAAUCACUGGGCGUAAAGGGUGCGUAGGCGGGGCUUUAAGUCAGGGGUGAAAUCCUGGAGCUCAACUCCAGAACUGCCUUUGAUACUGGCUGUCUUGAGUAUGGGAGAGGUUAGCGGAACUCCGAGUGUAGAGGUGAAAUUCGUAGAUAUUCGGAAGAACACCAGUGGCGAAGGCGGCUCACUGGACUGGUAUUGACGCUGAUGUGCGAAAGCGUGGGGAGCAAACAGG
This 253-nucleotide ribosomal RNA is filed under the name uncultured bacterium. RNAcentral describes it as "partial 16S ribosomal RNA". It matches the Rfam family "Bacterial small subunit ribosomal RNA", at positions 524 to 776 of the family's 1533-position model. The record is from RNAcentral.